UAUGUAGUAGACUAAUGGUAAGUCAUAAAUUUUUGGUAUUUACUUAUGGGUGUUCGAAUCACCCCUACAUAA
This is a transfer RNA of Bipolaris zeicola 26-R-13, 72 nucleotides long. It matches the Rfam family "tRNA". Rfam says of the family: Transfer RNA (tRNA) molecules are approximately 80 nucleotides in length. Their secondary structure includes four short double-helical elements and three loops (D, anti-codon, and T loops). Further hydrogen bonds mediate the characteristic L-shaped molecular structure. tRNAs have two regions of fundamental functional importance: the anti-codon, which is responsible for specific mRNA codon recognition, and the 3' end, to which the tRNAs corresponding amino acid is attached (by aminoacyl-tRNA synthetases). tRNAs cope with the degeneracy of the genetic code in two manners: having more than one tRNA (with a specific anti-codon) for a particular amino acid; and 'wobble' base-pairing, i.e. permitting non-standard base-pairing at the 3rd anti-codon position. The record is from Rfam. NCBI's taxonomy places the organism in Eukaryota, Fungi, Ascomycota, Dothideomycetes, Pleosporales, Pleosporaceae.